AAUCAUAAGCAUCGACAAGGCAUUCGUAACUAUGAAAAGCAUGAUACUCUUGCCAGGAAUCUACUUAACACAAUCGUGACUAGCGACCUUCACUACUUACGAAUAUAAAUUCAUAACGAUUAGGUGAAACAAAUUUAUAUCCUAGCAUCAAAUUCAAGCAUGCAAAUUAAGCAUGCACUCUCAAUCAACAUACAAGAAUAAGUUCUAAAUCAAAUGGUUAAGCAAAUUGUAUUCACG
RNAcentral lists this long non-coding RNA (237 nucleotides) under Malus domestica (apple). RNAcentral describes it as "long non-coding RNA (MDOM_LNC015001)". Lineage: Eukaryota; Viridiplantae; Streptophyta; Magnoliopsida; Rosales; Rosaceae. The record is from RNAcentral.